Magallana angulata is the source of this 480-nucleotide long non-coding RNA. RefSeq lists it as uncharacterized. The record is from RefSeq and is a predicted model, not a curated record. The transcript is spliced from 3 exons. Lineage: Eukaryota; Metazoa; Mollusca; Bivalvia; Ostreida; Ostreidae.
UGCGCACGGUGGGAUAAACAAGAAAUAUAAUAGUGUACAUACGUUUGUCAGUGUACGAAUGAUAGACUUAAUACUCCUAAGCUGAUCAACGACCAAUGAUCUGUGUGCCUGGGGUAGUCUUAAUAUCACACACUCAAAUACCCAAUAACUGGAAAUAUGUCCUCCAUUGUGUGUCUUGUAGUGGGCUAUCUAUAUUUCACGAAUCUGGUUUAUGAAAUACAGACUGGCAUAGUUAUCGAAAGAACAACAACAGCAGCACCCCAGGAACCAGAGAGUUCGGGGUUAACGACGGAACACAAAAUCAUCAUAGGAGUCUGUGUGUCUGUCUUUGAUUAUUCUGGCUGUCAUUGUCGUUGUAGCGGUCAAAAUGCACCAACAGAAGAAAAGACGAAAUGAGAGCGGAAGAACAGAGGCCACAUAAAACAAGUUCCUGUUGCGAUAAACACCUAUGUAUUAUGUAUUGUCGUGCACAUGCGUCUA